This 468-nucleotide ribosomal RNA is filed under the name uncultured bacterium. RNAcentral describes it as "partial 16S ribosomal RNA". It matches the Rfam family "Bacterial small subunit ribosomal RNA", at positions 28 to 507 of the family's 1533-position model. The record is from RNAcentral.
GACGAACGCUGGCGGCGUGCUUAACACAUGCAAGUCGAACGGAAAGGCCCUGCUUUUGUGGGGUGCUCGAGUGGCGAACGGGUGAGUAACACGUGAGUAACCUGCCCUUGACUUUGGGAUAACUUCAGGAAACUGGGGCUAAUACCGGAUAGGAGCUCCUUCUGCAUGGUGGGGGUGGGAAAGUUUCGGCGGUUGGGGAUGGACUCGCGGCUUAUCAGCUUGUUGGUGGGGUAGUGGCUUACCAAGGCUUUGACGGGUAGCCGGCCUGAGAGGGUGACCGGCCACAUUGGGACUGAGAUACGGCCCAGACUCCUACGGGAGGCAGCAGUGGGGGAUAUUGCACAAUGGGCGGAAGCCUGAUGCAGCAACGCCGCGUGCGGGAUGACGGCCUUCGGGUUGUAAACCGCUUUCGCCUGUGACGAAGCGUGAGUGACGGUAAUGGGUAAAGAAGCACCGGCUAACUACGUG